ACUCAAAGGAAUUGACGGGGGCCCGCACAAGCGGUGGAGCAUGUGGUUCAAUUCGACGCAACGCGAAGAACCUUACCCAGACUUGACAUGCAUAGGACCGUCGUGGAAACACGGCUUCCCCGAAAGGGGCCUGUGCACAGGUGCUGCAUGGCUGUCGUCAGCUCGUGUCGUGAGAUGUUGGGUUAAGUCCCGCAACGAGCGCAACCCUUGUCCCUAGUUGCAACAGAUAAUGCUGAGCACUCUAGGGAGACUGCCGGUGGUAAACCGGAGGAAGGUGGGGAUGACGUCAAGUCCUCAUGGCCCUUACGUCUGGGGCUACACACGUGCUACAAUGGCCGGUACAGAGGGAUGCAAGACCGCGAGGUGGAGCCAAUCCCACAAAACCGGUCUCAGUUCGGAUUGCAGUCUGCAACUCGACUGCAUGAAGUCGGAAUCGCUAGUAAUCGCUGAUCAGCAGGCAGCGGUGAAUACGUUCCCGGGCCUUGUACACACCGCCCGU
This 499-nucleotide ribosomal RNA is filed under the name uncultured bacterium. RNAcentral's name for it is "partial 16S ribosomal RNA". It matches the Rfam family "Bacterial small subunit ribosomal RNA", at positions 899 to 1397 of the family's 1533-position model. The record is from RNAcentral.